Non-coding RNA from Cucumis sativus (cucumber), 117 nucleotides. The record is from Rfam. NCBI's taxonomy places the organism in Eukaryota, Viridiplantae, Streptophyta, Magnoliopsida, Cucurbitales, Cucurbitaceae.
GGUGGAGAGUUCCAAAGGGAUCGCAUUGAUCCAAUGUUUGUCUUGUCUUAUCAAUGAUAUGUUGGAGUUGAUUCUCGAUCAAUUAUUGGAUCGUGCGAUCCCUUAGGAAUCUUCCAU